Piliocolobus tephrosceles (Ugandan red Colobus) is the source of this 1813-nucleotide long non-coding RNA. RefSeq lists it as uncharacterized. The transcript has 3 exons. The record is from RefSeq and is a predicted model, not a curated record. NCBI's taxonomy places the organism in Eukaryota, Metazoa, Chordata, Mammalia, Primates, Cercopithecidae.
ACCAUCCCCGGCUAAUUUUUUUUGGUAUUUUUUAGUAGAGAUGUGCUUUCACCAUGUUGAUCUGCCCACCUCAGCCUCCCAAAGUGCUGAGAUUGCAGGUGUGAGCCACCAUGGUCAGCCAGAAAUUUAAUGUAGUUUAGAACGAUUACAAAAGUAUUUCUACAUACCUUUAAAUUUUGACUAAUUUUGCCUCUGGCAAUGGGAUCAAAAUAAAAGCAGCAAUUCUUAUUUGUAAUGCAACAGCGUGUCUUAGAAUAGUUAGAUCUCAAGUAAACUUUACAAAUAGAGUACUGGAAUUAAUUUACAUUUAAAAAUAAAUUAGCCCAGUGGCAUAAAAUUAAAUCCCAGGCUCCAAAUAAAAAUUUCAGCAAAUUCCCCUUUUAUCUGUUAACACCGAAAAAUAUCAGCUGCUAUACAGAAAUUAUUUGUGCAUUAUUCCUGGGAGAAAGCAAGCAAGCAGCUCUCAUGGCAGUCUUUAUUUUCUAUGACCCUAACUUAUCCUCUAUGAUCCUGAAUAAAUGGUAGGUAGUACCCCUGCACUAAACUUGGGAAGUACUUAAGUAAGUACAGUCACUUUAAAAGAACUGAUCAUAGAUGUCUAAAAUUAAAACAUUUAUUAAUAAACAAAGUCUCUCUCGUAAAUGGGCCAAGAAGCAAUUCUAAGACAAAAGUGAACCCUAGAAUAUAGAUAUUCCCAGAAGACAAUUUUCCAAGAUACCUAGCCAAACAAUUUUCACUUAGUCACAAAAGUAAUUUUCAUCGAAGCCUACAGUCAUUUCUUUUUCUAAUUCUGUUCUCUCAUUUCUUUCUAAGCAUGAUCUUAAUAAAGCAUAUACCUGUCAAAGACUUCUCUUUGCAAAAGACACGGGAACGGCAGUCAGGAAGAGGACUUCAAAGCCCAGUCACUCUACUGAUCCGAAGUUUAUGGCUGUGUGUAACUUAGCCUCUCUGCAUCUGUUUCCUUGUCUGCAGUGGUAUUAGUUUUAGAGCCAGGGUUUCACCAUGUUGCCCAGGCUGGUCUCAAACUCCUGGCCUCAAGCAGUCCGCCCGCCUCGACCUCCCAAAGUGCUGGGAUUACAGGAGUGAACAACCACCUUGGCCAAGUUUCUUAAUACAAGGAUUUCAUAGGCAAUUCUGAGACUGAAGGUUGAGAAUCACGGCUAAAGUAGGUGUCUUCACCAGCGUAUCUCUGUACCUAAUGUAGCUGCUGGGCACACGGUAGGUACUCAAUACACAUUUGCCUAUCAAUGAAUGAAGAAUACAUUACUGUUACCAUUUAAGAGUUAAGGAGACUGAGGGUGAGAGAAGUUACCUUGCCCAGCGAUCUACACAGCCAGUAGCAGAGCUAGGAUUCAAAUGAGGGUCUUCUAAGACAACAAAUCCCAUCAACCAAAUGUAGUGGCUAAGAGGAAAGGGACCACAGAUAAUAUAAAGGAGGAGGUUGGAGCACUGUGUACCACAGAGGUCUGGAGUCCUGGAAGCCAAGGGUGAUGGGAGUCGGAUGGAACAGGUCUUUUCAAAAGAGCCAAUUUCCAUUCACUGUUUCCACUCCCUCACCUGUUAGCUGUUGUUUUGUUUUCAUUUAUUUUUGUACUUUUGGUAUGAUCUACUUCAACAUUCAAAAAAGUACAGAGAAUAAUAAACACCCAUGUAUCUACCAAUAAGAUUUAUUUUCUGGCCGGGCGAGCUGCCUCACGCCUGCAAUCCCAGCACUUUGGGAGGCCGAGGCGGGCAGGUCAGGAGACCAAGACUAUCCUGGCUAACACGGUGAAACACUGUCUCUACUAAAAAUACAAAAAAUUAGCCGGGCGUG